GACGAACGCUGGCGGCGUGCCUAAUACAUGCAAGUAGAACGCUGAAGAGAGGAGCUUGCUCUUCUUGGAUGAGUUGCGAACGGGUGAGUAACGCGUAGGUAACCUGCCUUGUAGCGGGGGAUAACUAUUGGAAACGAUAGCUAAUACCGCAUAACAAUGGAUGACACAUGUCAUUUAUUUGAAAGGGGCAAUUGCUCCACUACAAGAUGGACCUGCGUUGUAUUAGCUAGUAGGUGAGGUAAUGGCUCACCUAGGCGACGAUACAUAGCCGACCUGAGAGGGUGAUCGGCCACACUGGGACUGAGACACGGCCCAGACUCCUACGGGAGGCAGCAGUAGGGAAUCUUCGGCAAUGGGGGCAACCCUGACCGAGCAACGCCGCGUGAGUGAAGAAGGUUUUCGGAUCGUAAAGCUCUGUUGUAAGUCAAGAACGGGUGUGAGAGUGGAAAGUUCACACUGUGACGGUAGCUUACCAGAAAGGGACGGCUAACUACGUGCCAGCAGCCGCGGUAAUACGUAGGUCCCGAGCGUUGUCCGGAUUUAUUGGGCGUAAAGCGAGCGCAGGCGGUUUGAUAAGUCUGAAGUUAAAGGCUGUGGCUCAACCAUAGUUCGCUUUGGAAACUGUCAAACUUGAGUGCAGAAGGGGAGAGUGGAAUUCCAUGUGUAGCGGUGAAAUGCGUAGAUAUAUGGAGGAACACCGGUGGCGAAAGCGGCUCUCUGGUCUGUAACUGACGCUGAGGCUCGAAAGCGUGGGGAGCGAACAGGAUUAGAUACCCUGGUAGUCCACGCCGUAAACGAUGAGUGCUAGGUGUUGGAUCCUUUCCGGGAUUCAGUGCCGCAGCUAACGCAUUAAGCACUCCGGCCUGGGGAGUACGACCGCAAGGUUGAAACUCAAAGGAAUUGACGGGGGCCCGCACAAGCGGUGGAGCAUGUGGUUUAAUUCGAAGCAACGCGAAGAACCUUACCAGGUCUUGACAUCCCGAUGCUAUUUCUAGAGAUAGAAAGUUACUUCGGUACAUCGGUGACAGGUGGUGCAUGGUUGUCGUCAGCUCGUGUCGUGAGAUGUUGGGUUAAGUCCCGCAACGAGCGCAACCCCUAUUGUUAGUUGCCAUCAUUCAGUUGGGCACUCUAGCGAGACUGCCGGUAAUAAACCGGAGGAAGGUGGGGAUGACGUCAAAUCAUCAUGCCCCUUAUGACCUGGGCUACACACGUGCUACAAUGGUUGGUACAACGAGUUGCGAGUCGGUGACGGCGAGCUAAUCUCUUAAAGCCAAUCUCAGUUCGGAUUGUAGGCUGCAACUCGCCUACAUGAAGUCGGAAUCGCUAGUAAUCGCGGAUCAGCACGCCGCGGUGAAUACGUUCCCGGGCCU
Molecule: ribosomal RNA, 1370 nt
Filed under: uncultured bacterium
Lineage: Bacteria
Description: bacterial SSU rRNA
Rfam family: Bacterial small subunit ribosomal RNA
Source: RNAcentral